GAUGAACGCUGGCGGCGUGCCUAACACAUGCAAGUCGAACGGAAAGGCGCUGCUUUUGCGGGGUGCUCGAGUGGCGAACGGGUGAGUAACACGUGAGUAUACCGCCCCUGUCUUUGGGAUAUCUUCAGGAAAAUGGGGCUAAUACAGGAUAGGAGCUCCUGCUGCAUGGGGGGGGUUGGAAAGAUUCGGCUGUUGUGGCUCGACUCGCGGCUUAUCAGCUUGUUGGUGGGGUAGUGGCGUAACAAGCCUACGAAGGGUAGGCUGCCUGAGAGGGUGAUCGGCGACCCUGGAGCUGAGACACGGUCCAGACUCCUACGGUAGGCAGCAGUCGGGAACCUUCCGCAGUGGGCGAAAGCAUGACGGAGCGACGCCGAGCGAGUGAUGAAGGUCUCCGGAUCGUAAAGCCCGGUUACUGGUGAAGAACAACUUUGUACUUAGCCAUGGAGUGAGUGACGGUACCUAGUAAGAAAGCAACGGCUAACUACGUG
This 488-nucleotide ribosomal RNA is filed under the name uncultured bacterium. Its description in RNAcentral is "partial 16S ribosomal RNA". It matches the Rfam family "Bacterial small subunit ribosomal RNA", at positions 28 to 507 of the family's 1533-position model. The record is from RNAcentral.